This 607-nucleotide long non-coding RNA is filed under the name Eurytemora carolleeae. RNAcentral describes it as "uncharacterized LOC111702354". Lineage: Eukaryota; Metazoa; Arthropoda; Copepoda; Calanoida; Temoridae. The record is from RNAcentral.
UUAACGUUCUAUAGACUAAAUAACGGGGUUGAAACUGAUUUUGUACAUAACCCUUUAACAAUGUAAUUCGAAAGUAUAACGUUAAAACAUAUUUCAGAAAUGUUUAAUGAUAUCUUUGGAGAAGUGCUCUGGAAAGGUCUAAUCGAGGAUAAACCCCCAGAUCCGGGGGAAAUACAGGCAAAAAGAAACGGGGGCAGGCGAAGAACUUGUUUUGUGCCUGGAUGCCGUCCACCCCCUGGAACAUCCAGAUUCUAAUUUCCAAAGAACAAAAAGAAGCAGGAAUUGUGGCUGAAUUCUUUGAAGAUUGACGACACUAAUGAAAUCGGAGAUAGCAGAGUGCGUGCUCUUCAUUUUGCUAUGUCUGAUUUUAAUCCAAAUUUGAGGACUUUUUCGAAACUUCCAGAAAUCUCCCCUGCAAGGAAAUUUCUCUGAUCUUCUGCAAUUCCAUCAAUAACUGUAAAAGAACCAAGAUCUCCAUUAUCAACCUUUUUUGUAAAAUUCCAAAGAAUAAGGCAUCUAAAUGUUUUAGUAAACAAACAAGGGCAUCACAUGAUACGAAAUUUAAAACAAAAAGGCCAAUUCAUGUUUUAAUAAAUAGUUAAAAAUA